CCAGGGAGUACACUCUCCAAAGAGUUGGACGGGCCCAGGAUCGAGGACUUGCGAGGCUGCGGGGAAGAGUGAUGGUUGGAUGGUUCCCCUCAACAGUCCUACGGGCGAUGUAAUCGCCAACACCGGGGAGAGCAGAGGAGGCUCCGCGGCGGGUGCCUGGAGCGUCGCGGACGACGAGGGAGGCUGCUGGGCAUCACUAACGUUGGAGAAGAGCAUACAAAAAGGAGAGAUACUCAAGAG
Sardina pilchardus (European sardine) is the source of this 240-nucleotide long non-coding RNA. RefSeq lists it as uncharacterized. NCBI's taxonomy places the organism in Eukaryota, Metazoa, Chordata, Actinopteri, Clupeiformes, Clupeidae. The record is from RefSeq and is a predicted model, not a curated record. The transcript has 3 exons.